GUAGCUCAGAUGGGAGAGCGCUGCAAUCGCACUGCAGAGGUCAGGGGUUCGAUUCCCC
This 58-nucleotide transfer RNA is filed under the name Rhizobiales bacterium 39-66-18. Its description in RNAcentral is "tRNA-Ala". It matches the Rfam family "tRNA", at positions 7 to 62 of the family's 71-position model. Rfam says of the family: Transfer RNA (tRNA) molecules are approximately 80 nucleotides in length. Their secondary structure includes four short double-helical elements and three loops (D, anti-codon, and T loops). The record is from RNAcentral. Lineage: Bacteria; Pseudomonadati; Pseudomonadota; Alphaproteobacteria; Hyphomicrobiales.